Molecule: ribosomal RNA, 253 nt
Filed under: uncultured bacterium
Lineage: Bacteria
Description: partial 16S ribosomal RNA
Rfam family: Bacterial small subunit ribosomal RNA
Source: RNAcentral
UACGUAGGGUGCGAGCGUUAAUCGGAAUUACUGGGCGUAAAGCGUGCGCAGGCGGCUUUGCAAGACAGAUGUGAAAUCCCCGGGCUCAACCUGGGAACUGCAUUUGUGACUGCAAGGCUAGAGUACGGCAGAGGGGGAUGGUAUUCCGCGUGUAGCAGUGAAAUGCGUAGAUAUGCGGAGGAACACCAAUGGCGAAGGCAAUCCCCUGGGCCUGUACUGACGCUCAUGCACGAAAGCGUGGGGAGCAAACAGG